UACACUCCUGCGGGAGGCAGCAGUGGGGAAUAUUGGACAAUGGGCGCAAGCCUGAUCCAGCCAUGCCGCGUGAGUGAUGAAGGCCCUAGGGUUGUAAAGCUCUUUUGUGCGGGAAGAUAAUGACGGUACCGCAAGAAUAAGCCCCGGCUAACUUCGUGCCAGCAGCCGCGGUAAUACGAAGGGGGCUAGCGUUGCUCGGAAUCACUGGGCGUAAAGGGUGCGUAGGCGGGUCUUUAAGUCAGGGGUGAAAUCCUGGCGCUCAACUCCAGAACUGCCUUUGAUACUGAAGAUCUUGAGUUCGGGAGAGGUGAGUGGAACUGCGAGUGUAGAGGUGAAAUUCGUAGAUAUUCGCAAGAACACCAGUGGCGAAGGCGGCUCACUGGCCCGAUACUGACGCUGAGGCACGAAAGCGUGGGGAGCAAACAGGAUUAGAAACCCCGGUAGUCCCAUGA
Molecule: ribosomal RNA, 452 nt
Filed under: uncultured organism
Description: partial 16S ribosomal RNA
Rfam family: Bacterial small subunit ribosomal RNA
Source: RNAcentral